This 473-nucleotide ribosomal RNA is filed under the name uncultured bacterium. RNAcentral describes it as "bacterial SSU rRNA". It matches the Rfam family "Bacterial small subunit ribosomal RNA", at positions 46 to 507 of the family's 1533-position model. The record is from RNAcentral.
GCCUUACACAUGCAAGUCGAGCGGUAGCAUCUCUAGCUUGCUAGAAGAUGACGAGCGGCGGACGGGUGAGUAAUGCAUAGGAAUCUGGCCAAUAGAGGGGGGAUAGCCCGGAGAAAUCCGGAUUAAUACCGCAUACACUCUAUGGAGAAAAGCAGGGGGGAUCUUCGGACCUUGUGCUAUUGGAUGAGCCUAUGUCGGAUUAGUUAGUUGGUGGGGUAAAGGCCUACCAAGGCAGCGAUCCGUAGCUGGUCUUAGAGGAUGAUCAGCCACAUCGGGACUGAGACACGGCCCGAACUCCUACGGGAGGCAGCAGUGGGGAAUAUUGCACAAUGGGCGCAAGCCUGAUGCAGCUAUGCCGCGUGUGUGAAGAAGGCCUUAGGGUUGUAAAGCACUUUCAGUAGUGAGGAAGAGUGUUGUGUUAAUAGUGCAAUGCUGUGACGUUAGCUACAGAAGAAGGACCGGCAAACUCCGUG